CCUACGGGCGGCAGCAGUGGGGAAUAUUGGACAAUGGGGGCAACCCUGAUCCAGCCAUGCCGCGUGUGUGAAGAAGGCCCUCGGGUUGUAAAGCACUUUCAGUGAGGAAGAACGCCUGGUGGUUAAUACCCAUCAGGAAAGACAUCACUCACAGAAGAAGCACCGGCUAACUCCGUGCCAGCAGCCGCGGUAAUACGGAGGGUGCGAGCGUUAAUCGGAAUUACUGGGCGUAAAGCGCGCGUAGGUGGCUUGAUAAGCCGGUUGUGAAAGCCCCGGGCUCAACCUGGGAACGGCAUCCGGAACUGUCAAGCUAGAGUGCAGGAGAGGAAGGUAGAAUUCCCGGUGUAGCGGUGAAAUGCGUAGAGAACGGGAGGAAUACCAGUGGCGAAGGCGGCCUUCUGGACUGACACUGACACUGAGGUGCGAAAGCGUGGGUAGCAAACAGGAUUAGAUACCCUUGUAGU
Molecule: ribosomal RNA, 464 nt
Filed under: Vreelandella stevensii
Lineage: Bacteria; Pseudomonadati; Pseudomonadota; Gammaproteobacteria; Oceanospirillales; Halomonadaceae
Description: partial 16S ribosomal RNA
Rfam family: Bacterial small subunit ribosomal RNA
Source: RNAcentral